UCUGCUGUAUUAUUGAAUUGUGGUUUGUCAUACUUGUACUUUGCUUGAACAAAAGUUAUUGUAUUUCUUGCUCUUAUUGUAUUGUAACACUUGAAAUGUAUUUGCUUACGAUUGCGUCUGCCUAAAGCCACUACUGCCACACUGAACAGGAAAAGAUUUUGGGGUUCUAAAAAUUUGGGGUUGACCCGAUCUACACUGGGGCGUAUUUCGGGUUGGGGUCCUAACAUCUAUAAUAUUACAAUGCAAUAUAGGCCUAUUUUUAAGGAUGCUAUUUUGUGUUUUUGCUUUUAGUGUUUUACUGCUAACCUCCUGCAAACAGGAUCUCAAUAGUUUUCUGUUACUCACUCAUUAGUUUUUUUCUCACUCGGACCCCUUGCUCACCCAGUUUGUACAAUAUGACAUUGCCCUUUUAAGAGCAGGAAAUCAGUUUUAUUUCAGUAUUGCUGCAAACGGGAGUGACGUCACAGAGGAGUAUUUAAAUGUUCAUGAGAGGAGAAAGUUUUCAGCAGUAAGCAGAGAGAAGACAUCACAGAAACUUGUUUAGAGUUUUAACCUCCUGCAAACAGGAUCUCAGAAGCUUUCUGUUACUUGUGUUCUGUUAAGGAAACAAAGGAAGUGUUCCUGAGUGCCUCUGGAUAUCCAUAUAGGAUUGACUCUGGGAAACCACUGGGGGACUGGUUGACUGCGUUGUCUAUACAGUUGCUUAUUCUGUAACUAAAGACUAAGCCAGAAGAUGGAUGCCAUUCCAGUAUUGUCUCAGCUUAAAUCAUUUGUGCAGUGGGCUUCGGGGGACAGUGAAGGUGCUGAAGAGACACAAGCUAAUUUUUUGCAGCGCUGCCCGGUGGUAGCCCAGGGCACAUCAGCAGUUCAGGCGAUCAUUGGCGAUCAAGAAGGUGCCAGAGAAACACAGAUCGAGUUCCUGAAAAAUCUAAAUAACAAGGUGAAUUCUGUGCCAGUUGUUGGACAUGUAAAAGGUACAGUCCAUUACAUAUGUGGGGACAAGAAAGGUGGUGAUAAUGCUAUGAAAGCUGCAUCCCAUACUACAGGUGUC
Molecule: long non-coding RNA, 1051 nt
Organism: Acipenser ruthenus (sterlet)
Lineage: Eukaryota; Metazoa; Chordata; Actinopteri; Acipenseriformes; Acipenseridae
Exons: 4
Source: RefSeq, a predicted model, not a curated record